AAAGCAGGGGACCUUCGGGCCUUGCGCUAUCAGAUGAGCCUAGGUCGGAUUAGCUAGUUUGAGGUAAUGGCUCACCAAGGCGACGAUCCGUAACUGGUCUGAGAGGAUGAUCAGUCACUGGAACUGAGACACGGUCCAGACUCCUACGGGAGGCAGCAGUGGGGAAUAUUGGACAGGGCGAAAGCCUGAUCCAGCCAUGCCGCGUGUGUGAAGAAGGUCUUCGGAUUGUAAAGCUUUAAGUUGGGAGGAAGGGCAGUAAAUUAAUACUUUGCUGUUUUGACGUUACCGACAAUAAGCACCGGCUAACUCUGUGCCAGCAGCCGCGGUAAUACAGAGGGUGCAAGCGUUACGGAAUUACUGGGCGUAAAGCGCGCGUAGGUGGUUUGUUAAGUUGGAUGUGAAAUCCCGGCUCAACCUGGGAACUGCAUCCAAAACUGGCAAGCUAGAGUAUGGUAGAGGGUGGUGAUUUCCUGUGUAGCGGUGAAAUGCGUAGAUAUAGGAAGGAACACCAGUGGCGAAGGCGCACCUGGACUGAUACUGACACUGAGGUGCGAAAGCGUGGGGAGCAAACAGGAUUAGAUCCUGGUAGUCCACGCCGUAAACGAUGUCAACUAGCCGUUGGGAGCCUUGAGCUCUUAG
RNAcentral lists this ribosomal RNA (639 nucleotides) under uncultured bacterium. RNAcentral's name for it is "bacterial SSU rRNA". It matches the Rfam family "Bacterial small subunit ribosomal RNA", at positions 202 to 843 of the family's 1533-position model. The record is from RNAcentral.